GCUACGGGUGGCUGCAGUAGGGAAUUUUGCGCAAUGGGCGAAAGCCUGACGCAGCACCACCGCGUGAAUGUUAAGCCCUUCGGGGUGUAAAGUUCUGUCAAUAGGGACGAAUUUUGACUGUACCUAUAAAGGAAGCACCGGCUAACUCCUUGCCAGCAGCCGCGGUAAUACGGGGGUUGCAACCGUUGCCCGGAAGCAUUGGGCGUAAAGCGUUCGUAGGCGGCAAGGUACGUCUGAUGUUAAAGCCCGGUGCUCAAGUCCGGUUCGGCAUUGGAUACGAUCUAGCUAGUAUGUGGUAGAGUUAAAGGGAAGUCCUGGUGUAGCGGUGAAAUGCGUAGAUAUCAGGAGGAACAUCGGUGGCGAAAGCGCUUUACUGGACCAUUAUUGACGCUGAGGAACGAAAGCCAGGGGAGCAAAUGGGAUUAGAUACCCGAGUAGUC
RNAcentral lists this ribosomal RNA (440 nucleotides) under uncultured bacterium. RNAcentral's name for it is "partial 16S ribosomal RNA". It matches the Rfam family "Bacterial small subunit ribosomal RNA", at positions 338 to 795 of the family's 1533-position model. The record is from RNAcentral.